RNAcentral lists this ribosomal RNA (253 nucleotides) under uncultured bacterium. RNAcentral describes it as "partial 16S ribosomal RNA". It matches the Rfam family "Bacterial small subunit ribosomal RNA", at positions 524 to 776 of the family's 1533-position model. The record is from RNAcentral.
GACAGAGGGUGCAAACGUUGUUCGGAAUUACUGGGCGUAAAGCGAGUGUAGGCGGUCUGCUAAGUCGGGUGUGAAAGCCCCGGGCUCAACCUGGGAACUGCAUUUGAAACUGGCGGGCUUGAGUAUGGCAGAGGGGGGUGGAAUUCCGCGUGUAGCAGUGAAAUGCGUAGAGAUGCGGAGGAACACCGAUGGCGAAGGCAGCCCCCUGGGCCAAUACUGACGCUCAGGCACGAAAGCGUGGGGAGCAAACAGG